ACUAUCGCGAGGUAGCGGGGAGAGGAAGGGAUAGCGAAAUCGUGGCUCUACGAACAGAAACGUGAUAUGAGUUCCAUCCACGAAAAUUUCAGAAGGGUCAAUCAAACCAGCUCUUAAGGCUUGAUUGAGAAUUCGAGAGAAAAUCUCAGAGAUGAGCUCUUUUU
Molecule: non-coding RNA, 164 nt
Organism: Streptococcus sp.
Lineage: Bacteria; Bacillati; Bacillota; Bacilli; Lactobacillales; Streptococcaceae
Source: Rfam